Molecule: long non-coding RNA, 5275 nt
Filed under: Sarcophilus harrisii (Tasmanian devil)
Lineage: Eukaryota; Metazoa; Chordata; Mammalia; Dasyuromorphia; Dasyuridae
Description: lncRNA (ENSSHAG00000024637.1)
Source: RNAcentral
GAUGAAGCAAAAUAAAUUUCUGCAUUGGACUGUCCAAAAAUAAUCUGUUCCAAUGCCAAAGUGCUUUUUGAGGCUGAGCUCCUGACCCAAUCUCAUUUUCAGUGUCUGCAGACCUCUUUCUGCCUCCCCAUGGUGAUCUAGAUUAGAAAAAUGACUCACUAUGUUUCUUUUCCCUUAGAUUUCCUGGUGAAGGUUUGAUCUGGUAUAUUUCCUAAAUCUGUUUGGAAGAAUGAAGAGUUGGUUUGGUGAGCCAUGCACAAUUCCAAAAACUCCAUCUACUUUCGACAGCAUGGUCUCAAGUGUAAUUCCCCUCUGCCUUCCAAUAUGCAGUUUGUCUGGGAACGGGAGAAUAAUUCUAGAUGGAAGUGGGAGGAAAAACAUACAUUGUGUGAGGUAUGUGUAUCUGAUGUUGCCUCUUUGCAUAAGAGCCUAUGUUUUAACUUACCAUGAUUUGUUUUUUUUUUCUUUUUAUUUUGCAUUUUUUCAAAAGUAAUAAUAGGGAAUUGUAAAAAUGCAAAAUUAUUUUAUUUCCAUGUACUUCACAAUUGAACAAAACUAAUGAUGCAAGAGUAUCAGUUUUCAUAUGCACCAGAAUAUUUACAUGCACAAACUAUCAGAAGACUCCAUGUAAAGAACAUGGAAUUAGAAUUAAAGAGCAAAUGUGUUUGUUGUGAAUUUUCCACAAUUCCUUCAAACUAAACCAGAAACCUAAGAAGGAAGUCUCUUUUAUGUGAUAUUUCUUGGUUUUUAUUUCCAAGUUAAAGGCUCAAAUGGAAUUGAGAAAAUUGGAAGACUUUUUUUAAAAAUCCUUUAAAGAAGAGCUAGACAAUAUUUAUCAAAAUUAUCUAGCAGAAUUAUGUUUAUAAUUAAUAUGACAACCAAAUGAGAAAACACAAAUAGUGUUUUUCAGAUGGUAAAAUACUACACGUGAACUGUUGGUGUCACAAUCUUUGGUUAAACCCUUUUCACAUGGAAACUUCUCAAUAGGCUCAUCACCCAAGCCUUAAUCAUGUCAGACACUACAGAGAAAAACUACCUGAUUGGCUUCAUCAUAAUCUCUAUUGACACUUUUCCUCAGAUUCAUUCAAAAUUAUAAAUAUAGAACCCAUAUCAUAAUCAAAUAUUUGGUUUUUUAAUUCUUAUUUCCAUAAAAGAGAAUAAUAUAAAAACUAAGAGAAAAAAACUUCAGCUAAAAAGACUAAGAGAUGUUGAUGAAUAGCAUGAGAUUUAUUCAGUCCAAAAAUGGAAAAGUGUUACGUUUUUAAUAUAUAUGAAUAAUCAAAAUAUAUAUGAGUAAUUACAAUUGUAAUUUGUCCUGAGUAAAACUCAGGACACUUUGGGUGCUGUCUUCUAUGUCUCUUGACAUUGCAAUGAUACCAGUGGACCACUUGAGUUGUCUAUUGAUCAUUGCAUGCAGGUGCACAUGCACACACACAUACACUACACAGAUAAUUAGCCAAGCUUCUUUUCUGGUCAUACAUUUUCAUAUGACUUCCCUCACACAGAUUCUUCUGUGCAUUUUUCACUGGUAAAAUGGUUCAACUUUUUGCAAUAUCCAAUUAAAUUAUUAAAAUGUAUGCGUUCAAAACCAUAACAUGUAUUUUUACUAUCUUCAUAAUUAAAACAAUAAGAUAACUAUAUAUUACCUAUGGCCUUGCACUAUAGGCUAUGGGUUUGCAUAAACUAGAUAUAAUUUUGUAUAACUCCCCCAAAUAUUAUUUUUCCUCAUCCAGGAUUUCCACUGGAAUAUUUCAGAACAUUUCUUGAAUGAAAUUACAUUUAGGUUUCUACACAGAUUAAAGGGUCCUCAAUUCCUAUACAGACAUUGAAGAUGCAUACCAGGUAUAGAAUAGCCUUGUUUUUGCCCCAUAAAAAAUGCAGACAAUACAUAAAGAACUCAAAGUGGCUUAUAAGCAAUUCAUACAAAUCUCUUUCCAUUGAAUCCCAUCUUUCCUCUAGGAUCCUACAUAAUUCCCUAGGAUUUAUAGUUCUCCACUCCCUAUGUGGUUUGAAUUCUUGAAAGAGAAAUCAAUUUAAAAUUGGUAGAUAGCCCCACUUUUGCCAUCUCAGCAAACUAUUCUAAAUCCCAGGAAUCCAUAGCACUGACCUAAAAGUCUGGACUCUCCUUACUACCAGAAGAAGGAAAAAAAAUGGAACUGCUAGAAAGGUAAGAUGCUUUCCAUAAAAUCCAUACCUUCCAAAAUACUAAAAAUAGUGGUAAAAAUCAAAAUCCAAGUAUUUGGGCCCUCUGUGUCAUACUUCAUUUUCUAGAAGCUCUUAUGUAUGUGGGAAUCAUGUAUCCAUUUGUCUCUUCCAAAGAAAUUGAUGUUUUCCAACAUUUCCUCCUUCUCCCUCUAGAACAAGGCUUCUCAAACUUUUUCCACUUCAAACAUUUGCUGAUAAUAAAUCAUAAUUUUUCAACCUUUACAUUCAGUUAUGAGACCCUAUAUGGGGUCACAAACCACACUUUAAGAAGCUAGAAAACAUUUUAUAACUUACAAACAGGAUUCCUAGAGAAGCAAUGAUGAAGCUGGUACUCUACGUAACUUCUUUCUUUUCCUGAAAGCUGAACCCCAUUGUCUUCUCUCUAAGAAAAGAAAUAUAUUCCCAAGAUCACCUAUUCUUUCUCUAGAUGGUUGGGAUUCAAGAGUAUCCAUGAAUAUUUUGCCAUAUGGUUACCUUCUCACAGGAUCAUGUGGUUGAAACAUGCACAAAUAAAUAAUGCAUGAUCCAGUCACUCAGAGUCCAGGAACUCUAGGAAAUAUCACUACAUCUAACUGUCUGGAUUGAAGCUAUCUCUAGAAAUGAAAGGCUUCCAUUUCUGGGGUUGAGAUUGGAGGUAAGGUGGAAAGUAAUCUCUGGGGAACUCUGCUAAAGUAUUGGUGUCCAUCAAGAACUAAAAUAUAUUCUCAUGUCUUUGGUCUCUGUUCUAAAUUCAGUUGUCUCAGAAAAUUACUGCAAGAAGAGGGAUUCUGCCAUGUCCUUUUAUAGACAAAAUACAAAGUGGUGACUCUAAUUCAUAACAGUCUGAACCAUUCAUUUCACCCCCAGUCACUUGACUCAAUCAUUCUUCCAUAGCAAAGCAUUAAUGGGGUGCCAAUAAGAAUCCAUACCUUCCUAGGGACAUACAAAAUUACCCUUCCCCCCAAAAGGGACCCAUAUAAGCUCAUUGAGUUGAUCACUUAACUCUCCUGAUCAGGCUUUCUGUGGGUAAAGUAUAGUCCUUCUUUGAGCUAUAUAGACCAACUUACUGAAAUAUUUUUAGUUCUACCAUCCAAUAGAAGUAAUAAAAAUUAAUCUGUUAGUUCAUAAACAAACAUAGUAGAGGUUAAGCAAUAAUUUUUGAAGGAAAUAUUUUUAUCUAGGCAAAUAUAUAAGAUACCAGAAUGGUUACUGCUUUUCAGAAAACUAGAGGAUUACCAAUUAUAUUCCAUGUGCCUUAUAAGAACAUUAUAGCUUAACAUAGAUUGGAUACCCCAAAUGAAGAAAGAACCAUUGAAAACUAUCUCUUUAGAAUCUGUUUUGAGGAUAUUGCUCCAGAGGGCAAGACUGUGUCUGUAGAUGCAUAGACACUUGUAAAUUACUUCUAGGAAACCCUCUAUACUCUGAGUCUAGUUGAUUACCCCAGAAGUGAUUGUGCUGUUAUCAAAUUGGACAGCAUGAAGAGAAUUUUCCUGUGUUCCUGUAAGAUUGAUAUGAGCAAUGAUUCCAUAACUGCUCAUCACUGGCUAAAUUCCAAUCCUGGAAAACUCCUAGAAAUACCUAUAAAUUGAUCAAUAAACAAAUACCUGUUAGGUCUCUACUAUGUGCAAGGUACUGUGCUUGGGACUGAUUAUACAAAUAUAAUACAUAAAAUAAUAACUUUUCAUAUCUAAGUAGUGCUGUUGGAGAAUGUGAACCUUAUAGUCAGCCUUCGAAACUUACCCUAAGCAAGAAGGCUCCAAAUGAAAUGGUUGUGAACCGAAUUGAGUAACAGGAGUCCAGGAUCCUAUAAUAACCUAACAUGUAUGUGGUUUGCAGGAUGCUGUAUUUAAUUUUUAAGAGCUGAUUGUACUGCUAUUUAGCUGUGCCCCCUUUGAGGGAAGAAUAGACAGGAAAAGGUAAAGAAGAAAGUUCAUGAACAUCAGGGACAUGACCUUUGAAGAAAAAAAUUUUGGAUUAUCUGGCAAGGGAGAGAGAAAGUGAUCUAAGUGGCAGGUAAAUAACUACAAAUCUUUUAGGGGAGCCACUUUGGAUGCCCAUUGAUUUAAGUAUCAUUGGGGAACAAAUACAGAGAUAUAAGUCCUACCCUUCUCAAGAACCACAGUAAACCAAGUAAAUAAACUUAUUUACUUCUGUUUUCACUAGAGAGUUAUGACUUCCAUAAUCAAGAGUUCAAAUUUACUUAGCAGGAAAUCUUUUAAAGGAUAUACUAUUAUACAUUGGACAUAUGCUUUUUUAAAAAAGGGAAAUACUUGGAAACAUUUAGUCAUUUUAUUAUACAUCCAUACACACACACACACAUAUAUAUUAUAUACACAUACAUAUUUUAGUACAUAUGUGUAUAUGUGUAUUUAUGUACAUAUAUAUAUAUAUAUGUAAUAUAUACCAUUACUUAGGAUUUUUUGUUGUAAAAAGAGGAAGCUUUUUCCUGAAUCCACCAUAAAUGAUUUUGCACAACCUGUGAAUCUAAUUUUCAUCUGCACGUCCAACACCUAAAAAUCAUUUGCCUCUUCUAAUUGAAUGCUUUUCUCUUUAAAGUCAGUUCCUUGUGACCUUUAAAUUCAGUUAGAAAAGUUAAUCCUUUGGUUAAUCUGGACCAAUUGGUUUCUGUUACACAAUUCAGUGACAAACCAUUAUUUCCAGCCUAGCUUUUAAUUGGUUGGAAUGUUCUUGCCAGGGAGAUCCAGUAGCUGUCAAAUAUGCCUGCUAGCCAGUGUGUGUUUCCUGGACAGAUUCCAGAUCAUUAAAGCAACAUCUUCCUGUUCAAACUGGGGAUGUUUAUCAUGAACCCAAAUCCUGAUGUCCUAUCCUGCUCUUAUUUAAUUAAGGCCUAAGGAAUGUUACAGGGAGCCUGGCUACAGAUCAUAGACAACUUGACUUUUGAAAAAGAAAAAAAAUGUUGAAUGCAAUUUUUAAGUCAUUAGGUGAAAUUGCCAAACAAAUCACAACUUAUUAGUGAUACUAAAAAUGUUUCUCUUAGAUAUUCUAUUUUUUCCCUGGAUUUGAAUUUCACCAACUCAUAGAACCAAAGAGCCCCAAAGCCACAAUUAUACCAUCAAGUUUCAGUAACAGU